This 305-nucleotide ribosomal RNA is filed under the name uncultured bacterium. RNAcentral describes it as "partial 16S ribosomal RNA". It matches the Rfam family "Bacterial small subunit ribosomal RNA", at positions 505 to 807 of the family's 1533-position model. The record is from RNAcentral.
ACAGCAGUCGCCACGGGAAUACGAAGGGGGCUAGCGUUGCUCGGAAUGACUGGGCGUAAAGGGCGCGUAGGCGGAUGACACAGUCAGAUGUGAAAUUCCCGGGCUUAACCUGGGGGCUGCAUUUGAUACGUGUUGUCUAGAGUGAGGAAGAGGGUUGUGGAAUUCCCAGUGUAGAGGUGAAAUUCGUAGAUAUUGGGAAGAACACCGGUGGCGAAGGCGGCAACCUGGUCCUUUACUGACGCUGAGGCGCGAAAGCGUGGGGAGCAAACAGGAUUAGAUACCCGCGUAGUCCCUGUCUCUUAUAC